Molecule: long non-coding RNA, 232 nt
Filed under: Zerene cesonia (dogface butterfly)
Lineage: Eukaryota; Metazoa; Arthropoda; Insecta; Lepidoptera; Pieridae
Description: uncharacterized LOC119839607, transcript variant X1
Source: RNAcentral
GCGUACGGUUCUUUUCAAGUUAUUUUCAUUGUGUAACGUGUUGUGGUAUUCAAUGUAACGAAGCCCUCCCGAUAAGUCUGUAUAAAAUUUGUUUUGUACCGACGAAAUUUAUUUGGGUUGACUUCCAGCAUUGAAAAGACAAUUCGCGAGUCGCCGAAACAUUUUGCGGUUACAGUGUGACGAAAAUGAUUUUGAGAUAAAUUCUACAGUGUAGUGAUUAUUGUGUUGAGGA